ACACUCAUGGUGAAGCGGUUAUCAUGCUUGCCUUCCAGGCAAAACAGAAAUGUUGUAACCGCGGCAGCAAGCGGCAGGGGUUCGACUCCCCUUGAGUGUA
Non-coding RNA from Mycena vitilis, 100 nucleotides. The record is from the annotation of a GenBank genome assembly. NCBI's taxonomy places the organism in Eukaryota, Fungi, Basidiomycota, Agaricomycetes, Agaricales, Mycenaceae.